Molecule: non-coding RNA, 31 nt
Filed under: Rattus norvegicus (Norway rat)
Lineage: Eukaryota; Metazoa; Chordata; Mammalia; Rodentia; Muridae
Source: RNAcentral
UAAGGGUGAUGACAUUAUAGGUUUAAUCCAU